UACGUAGGGCGCAAGCGUUAUCCGGAAUUAUUGGGCGUAAAGAGCUCGUAGGCGGUUUGUCGCGUCUGCCGUGAAAGCCCUGGGCUCAACUCCGGAUCUGCGGUGGGUACGGGCAGACUAGAGUGAUGUAGGGGAGACUGGAAUUCCUGGUGUAGCGGUGAAAUGCGCAGAUAUCAGGAGGAACACCGAUGGCGAAGGCAGGUCUCUGGGCAUUAACUGACGCUGAGGAGCGAAAGCAUGGGGAGCGAACAGG
This 253-nucleotide ribosomal RNA is filed under the name uncultured bacterium. RNAcentral describes it as "partial 16S ribosomal RNA". It matches the Rfam family "Bacterial small subunit ribosomal RNA", at positions 524 to 776 of the family's 1533-position model. The record is from RNAcentral.